RNAcentral lists this ribosomal RNA (253 nucleotides) under uncultured bacterium. RNAcentral's name for it is "partial 16S ribosomal RNA". It matches the Rfam family "Bacterial small subunit ribosomal RNA", at positions 79 to 334 of the family's 1533-position model. The record is from RNAcentral.
CUUUCUUUGCUGGCGACCGGCGCACGGGUGAGUAACACGUAUCCAACCUGCCUUUACUCGGGGAUAGCCUUUCGAAAGAAAGAUUAAUACCCGAUAGCAUAAUGAUUCCGCAUGGUUUCAUUAUUAAAGGAUUCCGGUAAAGGAUGGGGAUGCGUUCCAUUAGGUUGUUGGUGAGGUAACGGCCCACCAAGCCUUCGAUGGAUAGGGGUUCUGAGAGGAAGGUCCCCCACAUUGGAACUGAGACACGGCCCAA